AGGCGUUCCGAGGGGUGCUCCGAAGGAGGAGCUGAGAUACCGCAAGCUUGGGCUUAGCCAGAGAUGGCGAUCAGCCCGGGACCGCGGUGACCCUUUGAACCUGAUCCGGGUCAUGCCGGCGAAGGGACAGGGAUGUAUCAGACGU
RNAcentral lists this non-coding RNA (145 nucleotides) under Bradyrhizobium sp. RNAcentral describes it as "TPP sequence". It matches the Rfam family "TPP riboswitch aptamer (THI element)". Rfam says of the family: Vitamin B(1) in its active form thiamin pyrophosphate (TPP) is an essential coenzyme that is synthesised by coupling of pyrimidine and thiazole moieties in bacteria. The previously detected thiamin-regulatory element, thi box was extended, resulting in a new, highly conserved RNA secondary structure, the THI element, which is widely distributed in eubacteria and also occurs in some archaea. Analysis of operon structures identified a large number of new candidate thiamin-regulated genes, mostly transporters, in various prokaryotic organisms. Lineage: Bacteria; Pseudomonadati; Pseudomonadota; Alphaproteobacteria; Hyphomicrobiales; Nitrobacteraceae. The record is from RNAcentral. RNAcentral also lists the same sequence under 1 other name.